This 452-nucleotide ribosomal RNA is filed under the name Shigella sonnei. RNAcentral describes it as "bacterial SSU rRNA". It matches the Rfam family "Bacterial small subunit ribosomal RNA", at positions 44 to 485 of the family's 1533-position model. Lineage: Bacteria; Pseudomonadati; Pseudomonadota; Gammaproteobacteria; Enterobacterales; Enterobacteriaceae. The record is from RNAcentral.
AGGCCUAACACAUGCAAGUCGAACGGUAACAGGAAGCAGCUUGCUGCUUCGCUGACGAGUGGCGGACGGGUGAGUAAUGUCUGGGAAACUGCCUGAUGGAGGGGGAUAACUACUGGAAACGGUAGCUAAUACCGCAUAACGUCGCAAGACCAAAGAGGGGGACCUUCGGGCCUCUUGCCAUCGGAUGUGCCCAGAUGGGAUUAGCUAGUAGGUGGGGUAACGGCUCACCUAGGCGACGAUCCCUAGCUGGUCUGAGAGGAUGACCAGCCACACUGGAACUGAGACACGGUCCAGACUCCUACGGGAGGCAGCAGUGGGGAAUAUUGCACAAUGGGCGCAAGCCUGAUGCAGCCAUGCCGCGUGUAUGAAGAAGGCCUUCGGGUUGUAAAGUACUUUCAGCGGGGAGGAAGGGAGUAAAGUUAAUACCUUUGCUCAUUGACGUUACCCGCAGA